This 279-nucleotide ribosomal RNA is filed under the name uncultured bacterium. RNAcentral describes it as "partial 16S ribosomal RNA". It matches the Rfam family "Bacterial small subunit ribosomal RNA", at positions 30 to 318 of the family's 1533-position model. The record is from RNAcentral.
AUUGAACGCUGGCGGCAUGCCUAACACAUGCAAGUCGAACGGGAGUAGCAAUACUCUAGUGGCGGACGGGUGAGGAAUACGUAGGGAUUUGCCCUUAAGUGGGGGAUAGUCCAGGGAAACUUGGUUUAAUACCGCAUGAUCUCGAAAGAGCAAAGCAGGGGAGUCGCAAGACCUUGCGCUUUUGGAGAAACCUACGUCUGAUUAGCUAGUUGGUGAGGUAACGGCUCACCAAGGCGACGAUCAGUAACUGGUCUGAGAGGAUGAUCAGUCACACCGGAA